CGACUGAAAAGGAAAUAAAACUGAAACCGACCCAUGAAAGAAAAUCAUCUUAAAAUUUCACAGAUCUCUAAGUGAUAUCACUGAGCACUGCAUCUUCAGAGACAAUGGACCCUCUGGAUGGAAAAGGACACUGUGCCCUGGGGCCGCCACAUUUAAGCAUCUGCAUAUUUGUUGCGUUAAAUCUUCAACGUUCACCAGAGUCUCAAACCACACAGCUUUUCUAGGUUUUCACUUGCUGUUUCUAAGGGGAGAACAGAGAUUUCUUCCACUAUGAAAAGAAAGGGGUCCCCUUCUGUCCCUCUUAGACAGAACCUAUCUUGCGAUCAAAUUGUCCUACUCUUAAAACACAAACGAAAAGAAGGGGGGCUUCUUAUCGGAAAGUGUCUUCUUAUCAGAAGGGGGGCUCAGCUAAGGACCCCAGCACAUGACCUCACUUCCUUGGUGACAGGUCCAAACAGACCUUGGAACCCUGUCACCAGGCACCACGGUCUAGCGCCAACUGCCCUCCCAGUCACUUGGCUGGAAAUAGGCAGCAGCGAACAUGCUGUGCUGCUUUCCCAGGCCUCCAGGCCGCAGCCUCGGGACCCCACGCAGGGAAACCACUUGCCAACGAGUGAGAGGAUGGUUCACUCGGCCCAGAAGCUUCAGGACCCUCAUCAGGAACCACCCAACAGUCACGGGCAGCCCAGGGCAGGUCUCACCAGACCCAGCCCCCAGAUGCCCAGAGACGAGAGAGAGCCCAGGGCAGGUGUCCCGAGGCCCGACCUUCAUCCGCUCAGAGGCACCGAAUCCACUACAGGUCUACGUAGACCCGGACACCACUAUUGGACAUCAAUCGGCCGAGAGCCCGGCAGAGGUCUGCAGAGUGAACACAGUGCGGGCAGGGGCACCCCACACCCUGACGGAGCCGCUGGAGAAGGCCUUCCUGGACAGGAAGAGCAGGUCCACCUCUUCUGUUCCAAACUCCUCACUGGAGCUGAACUCUCAGAUAGAGUCCAUAGAUGAGCUUCUCCUGGACCAUCUGGAUCGCCCCGAACCUCCUGAGGCACAGCUCCAGAGUGUGGAGGACUGUGUGCCAGCUCCAGGCCCCGAUCAAGUCCCACCUGCAGAGCUCCUGCCUGCUCUACCUGCAGCUCCCUCACCAGCUGUGGCCCCACACCAAGAGCCAGGACCUAUAACCUCUUCCCCACCAGCUGCAGAGCCGGAACUCCUGGCAUCUCCACGACAGGUGUCAUCUCUUGAGCUCUACCUGGGGCCGGCUCUUGGCCCACUGCUGCCAUUCCUGUCACAUACAGAUUUACUUAUUAUACUUAUUGUUACUCUGACUGCUCAGAGACAGGACAAUGAUAGAAUUAAUGUAAAUAAAUUAACAUUUUACCCUUAUUUAAAAUGAUCAC
RNAcentral lists this long non-coding RNA (1397 nucleotides) under Heterocephalus glaber (naked mole-rat). Its description in RNAcentral is "lncRNA (ENSHGLG00100035668.1)". Lineage: Eukaryota; Metazoa; Chordata; Mammalia; Rodentia; Bathyergidae. The record is from RNAcentral.